GUGGGGAAUCUUCCACAAUGGGCGAGAGCCUGAUGGAGCAACGCCGCGUGUGUGAUGAAGGGUUUCGGCUCGUAAAACACUGUUGUAAGAGAAGAAUGACAUUGAGAGUAACUGUUCAAUGUGUGACGGUAUCUUACCAGAAAGGAACGGCUAAAUACGCGCCAG
RNAcentral lists this ribosomal RNA (165 nucleotides) under uncultured bacterium. RNAcentral describes it as "partial 16S rRNA". It matches the Rfam family "Bacterial small subunit ribosomal RNA", at positions 354 to 511 of the family's 1533-position model. The record is from RNAcentral.